UACGUAGGGACCGAGCGUUGUCCGGAAUCAUUGGGCGUAAAGAGCGUGUAGGCGGCUUGCUAAGUCUUGCGUGAAAUCUCGGGGCUCAACCCCGAGCGGUCGUGGGAAACUGGCAGGCUAGAGUGCGGGAGAGGAGAAUGGAAUUCCUGGUGUAGCGGUGAAAUGCGCAGAUAUCAGGAGGAACACCUGAGGUGAAGACGGGUUGCUGGGCUGACACUGACGCUGAGGCGCGAAAGCCAGGGGAGCAAACGGG
This 253-nucleotide ribosomal RNA is filed under the name uncultured bacterium. RNAcentral describes it as "partial 16S ribosomal RNA". It matches the Rfam family "Bacterial small subunit ribosomal RNA", at positions 524 to 776 of the family's 1533-position model. The record is from RNAcentral.